ACCAGGUGUUUGAUUGAUUUGAUACCAUUCCACUGAUUCCACUCCAGUCAUUACCACGAGCUUGUCCUCCCCAGGUAAGGAACCACCAACCUCCUGUGGUCCUAAUUUAUAUCUAGAAGGUAAAUGUACUAAAUUAACUUUCUUUAGUCUUCUUAGGAAUUAACAUUGGAGUAGAAAAAUGCAAAAUUGCACAGUAGAACAAAACAAGAUAAACAGAAGCAGAAUUAAUGAUUUUAUUGAUAGCGUUGUGUGGAAUGUGACUCUUCUGGCUGUCUGUGUUAGUCAGGAAGUCACAGGGGAGUACCGGGAGGCUUUAUGUUUUAUCACCAACACACAUUAUUGUCAGGCUGUGUGUUAGUAGCACUGCGAUGAGAGGAAAGUGAGGAGUUGUUUUAUCACCAACAUACAUUAUUGUCAGGCUGUGUGUUAGUAACACUGCGAUGAGAGGAAAGUGAGGAGUUGUUUUAUCACCAACACACAUUAUUGUCAGGCUGUGUGUUAGUAGCACUGUGAUGAGAGGAAAGUGAGGAGUUGUUUUAUCACCAACAUACAUUAUUGUCAGGCUGUGUGUUAGUAGCACUGCGAUGAGAGGAAAGUGAGGAGUUGUUUUAUCACCAACAUACAUUAUUGUCAGGCUGUGUGUUAGUAACACUGCGAUGAGAGGAAAGUGAGGAGUUGUUUUAUCACCAACAUACAUUACUGUCAGGCUGUGUGUUAGUAACACUGUGAUGAGAGGAAUGUGAGGCGUUGUUUUAUCAUCAGCAAACACACACAUUAUUGUCAGGCUGUGUGUUAGUAGCACUGCGAUGAGAGGAAAGUGAGGAGUUGUUUUAUCACCAACAUACAUUAUUGUCAGGCUGUGUGUUAGUAACACUGUGAUGAGAGGAAUGUGAGGCGUUGUUUUAUCAUCAGCAAACACACACAUUAUUGUCAGGCUGUGUGUUAGUAGCACUGCGAUGAGAGGAAAGUGAGGCGUUGUUUUAUCACCAGCGAACACACACAUUAUUGUCAGGCUGUGUGUUAGUAGCACUGUGAUGAGAGGAAAGUGAGGCGUUGUUUUAUCACCAGCGAACACACACAUUAUUGUCAGGCUGUGUGUUAGUAGCACUGCGAUGAGAGGAAAGUGAGGCGUUGUUUUAUCACCAGCGAACACACACAUUAUUGUCAGGCUGUGUGUUAGUAGCACUGCGAUGAGAGGAAAGUGAGGAGUUGUUUUAUCACCAACAUACAUUAUUGUCAGGCUGUGUGUUAGUAGCACUGCGAUGAGAGGAAAGUGAGGCGUUGUUUUAUCAUCAGCAAACACACACAUUAUUGUCAGGCUGUGUGUUAUUAGCACUGUGAUGAGAGGAAUGUGAGGCGUUGUUUUAUCACCAGCGAACACACACAUUAUUGUCAGGCUGUGUUAUUAGCACUGCGAUGAGAGGAAAGUGAGGCGUUGUUUUAUCACCAGCGUACACACACAUUAUUGUCAGGCUGUGUGUUAGUAGCACCGUGAUGAGAGGAAAGUGAGGCGUUGUUUUAUUGCACCGCUUUAGGAGUGUCUAAAAACCCCCAAGAGGAUGUCAGAAGGGAGACUUUUUCACGACAGCUUGGAAAAUAAACAGUUAUCAUCAGAUUCAAAACAAAGAUAUUUAUCUUUUUCUCAGAUCCAGUGUUGUGUAGAGAGAGAGAGAGAAGCCGGGGGCUGGGAGUUUACCCAGUCAGAGUCACUGCACUAUGAAGACGCCAAUUGUGGAGUAACACAUCAGUCUUGACGUUGGGUGAUCUAUACGUUUCCACAUCUGUACUGUCUCCAACUCCCUGCCCUGUUUCAAUACUUUAGGUGACAUCCUGUAUCGUGGUUCUCCAUAGGUACAUUUCAUGGGUUCUUCACUCAAGAGGGGAUAGUGUUACUUCACAGCACAUAGGAACUGUUACAGUGCUUUCUCUCUACCCACAGGUUCAUCUCAAUAGUAUGAAAUGGAUCCUUCUGCUCGUCUCCUUUCCUUCAGGAAGAAAGAAAGAAUAAAAGAAAGACAGGUUAGCGUACACUCUCACUUUUUAUUUUCAACUACAAAAGAGCCGUGUCAUCUCUGGGCUUGGAGGCCCCACAGAGUUGAGUUGAGGUGAGACAGCUCUCGCUCUUUACCUCUUCCCUCCCUCCAUCUCAUCUAGCCCUUCUAUUCACCAUCCACAGGAGCCAGUUUUAAGCUCUCGACCUAUCCACUCUAUCAUCUUCCCUCUGAUCCAUAUUCUCCUGCAGUCAGAUGACAUUAUGCAGCCAGGGCCCUCUGUCCCUCUCUCCCUUUCUCCCUCUCUCCUACCCCUCUCUCCUGUCCUCUCUCCCUCUCUCCCUUUCUCCCUCUCUCCUAUCUCUCUCCUGUCCUCUCUCCUCUCCCCUGUUCCCCUGCUACAGUCAGGCAGACUCAGGCAGAUCCACCCUGCUGUGAGCAUCCCAUUACACAGACUCUCCUGGCUCUUACUGCCUGUCAAACUAAAAGCUGGGGCUGCUCUGCUCCGAGGUUAAAAGGUACAAAAUGAUCCAGAGCCAGAGGGGAGCCGACUGUUCAGGGGCUGAUUGCUGAUCUAUCAAUUGCGGAUAGAAGAGAAGACGGUCCCUAUGAUAAUGAUGCUCGUUUAGCCUGCGAUGAAGAGUACAUGAGCUGCUCUCUAGUUUGGAGGAGUUUUUAUAGCUGUAAAGAGAGUGUCUGUGUGAAUCAGGUCUGGUCUUGUCUUGGCUGACUUGUCUGUGAGUCUUCUGUCUGUCUGUCUGUCUGUCUGGCUGUCUGUGAGGGACAGAUUGAUCGGAAGGUAAUCUUAGGGAAAGAGACAUUGGGGUGAAAUGAAAGAAUACCAUAUAUGUCAUUUAUUUGAUCCUUUGAAUCCACCUGGAGCCGAUGAGGAUUCCCUGGACACAGCUGUGUACCCUAGCCAACAACGACGAGACGGCCUACAGGGAGGAGGUGAGGGCCCUCGGAGUGUGGUGUCAGGAAAAUAACCUCACACUCCACGUCAACAAAACAACGGAGAUGAUCGUGGACUUCAGGAAACAGCAGAGGGAGCAUCCCCCUAUCCACAUCGACGGGACAGUAGUGGAGAGGGUAGAAAGUUUUAAGUUCCUCGGCGUACACAUCACGGACAAACUGAAUUGGUCCACCCACACAGACAGCAUGGUGAAGAAGGCGCAGCCACGCCUCUUCAACCUCAGGAGGCUGAAGAAAUUUGGCUUGUCACCAAAAGCACUCACAAACUUUUACAGAUGCACAAUCGAGAGCAUCCUGUCGGGCUGUAUCACUGCCUGGUAGGGCAACUGCUCCACCCACAACUGUAAGGCUCUCCAGAGGGUAGUGAGGUCUGCACAACACAUCACUGGGGGCAAACUACCUGGCCUCUAGGACACCUACACCACCCUAUGUCACAGGAAGGCCAUAAAGAUCAUCAAGGACAACAACCACCCGAGCCACUGCCUGUUCACCCCGCUAUCAUCCAGAAGGCGAGGUCAGUACAGGUGCAUCAAAGCAGGGACGAGAGACUGAAAAACAGCUGCUAUCUCAAGGCCAUCAGACUGUUAAACAGCCACCACUAACAUUGAGUGGCUGCUGCCAACAGACUCAACUCCAGCCACUUUAAUAAUGGAAAAUUGAUGUAAAAAAUGUAUCACUAGCCACUUUAAACAAUGCCACUUAAUAUAAUGUUUACAUUAUAAUGUUUACCCUACAUUACUCAUCUCAUAUGUACAGUGCCUUGCGAAAGUAUUCGGCCCCCUUGAACUUUGCGACCUUUUGCCACAUUUCAGGCUUCAAACA
This is a long non-coding RNA of Oncorhynchus tshawytscha (Chinook salmon), 3785 nucleotides long. The record is from Ensembl. Lineage: Eukaryota; Metazoa; Chordata; Actinopteri; Salmoniformes; Salmonidae.